This 500-nucleotide ribosomal RNA is filed under the name uncultured bacterium. RNAcentral's name for it is "partial 16S ribosomal RNA". It matches the Rfam family "Bacterial small subunit ribosomal RNA", at positions 30 to 523 of the family's 1533-position model. The record is from RNAcentral.
AUUGAACGCUGGCGGCAUGCCUCACACAUGCAAGUCGAACGGCAGCACGGGAGCAAUCCUGGUGGCGAGUGGCGAACGGGUGAGUAAUAUAUCGGAACGUGCCCAGUCGUGGGGGAUAACGCAGCGAGAGCUGUGCUAAUACCGCAUACGAUCUACGGAUGAAAGCGGGGGAUCGCAAGACCUCGCGCGAUUGGAGCGGCCGAUAUCAGAUUAGCUAGUUGGUGGGGUAAAGGCCCACCAAGGCGACGAUCUGUAGCUGGUCUGAGAGGACGACCAGCCACACUGGAACUGAGACACGGUCCAGACUCCUACGGGAGGCAGCAGUGGGGAAUUUUGGACAAUGGGCGCAAGCCUGAUUCAGCAAUGCCGCGUGCAGGAUGAAGGCCUUCGGGUUGUAAACUGCUUUUGUACGGAACGAAACGGCCCUUUCUAAUACAGGGGGCUAAUGACGGUACCGUAAGAAUAAGCACCGGCUAACUACGUGCCAGCCGCCGCAGUAA